GAACGCUGGCGGCGUGCUUAACACAUGCAAGUCGAACGAAGCGCUUUAUUUGAUUUCUUCGGAAUGAAGAUUUUGUGACUGAGUGGCGGACGGGUGAGUAACGCGUGGGUAACCUGCCUCAUACAGGGGGAUAACAGUUGGAAACGACUGCUAAUACCGCAUAAGCGCACAGGGUCGCAUGACCUGGUGUGAAAAACUCCGGUGGUAUGAGAUGGACCCGCGUCUGAUUAGCCAGUUGGUGGGGUAACGGCCUACCAAAGCGACGAUCAGUAGCCGACCUGAGAGGGUGACCGGCCACAUUGGGACUGAGACACGGCCCAAACUCCUACGGGAGGCAGCAGUGGGGAAUAUUGCACAAUGGGGGAAACCCUGAUGCAGCGACGCCGCGUGAGCGAAGAAGUAUUUCGGUAUGUAAAGCUCUAUCAGCAGGGAAGAAGAAAUGACGGUACCUGACUAAGAAGCACCGGCUAAAUACGUGCCAGCAGCCGCGGUAAUACGUAUGGUGCAAGCGUUAUCCGGAUUUACUGGGUGUAAAGGGAGCGCAGGCGGUACGGCAAGUCUGAUGUGAAAGCCCGGGGCUCAACCCCGGUACUGCAUUGGAAACUGUCGGACUAGAGUGUCGGAGGGGUAAGUGGAAUUCCUAGUGUAGCGGUGAAAUGCGUAGAUAUUAGGAGGAACACCAGUGGCGAAGGCGGCUUACUGGACGAUUACUGACGCUGAGGCUCGAAAGCGUGGGGAGCAAACAGGAUUAGAUACCGUGGUAGUCCACGCCGUAAACGAUGAAUAUUAGGUGUCGGGGAGCAUUGCUCUUUCGGUGCCGCAGCAAACGCAAUAAGUAUUCCACCUGGGGAGUACGUUCGCAAGAAUGAAACUCAAAGGAAUUGACGGGGACCCGCACAAGCGGUGGAGCAUGUGGUUUAAUUCGAAGCAACGCGAAGAACCUUACCAAGUCUUGACAUCCCGAUGACAGAACAUGUAAUGUGUUUUCUUUUGGGAGCGUCGGUGCCAGGUGGUGCAUGGUGGUCGUCAGUUCGUGUCGUGAGAUGUUGGGUUAAGUCCCGCAACGAGCGCAACCCCUAUUCCUAGUAGCCACCGGGUAAGCCGGGCACUCUAGGGAGACUGCCAGGGAUAACUUGGAGGAAGGUGGGGAUGACGUCAAAUCAUCAUGCCCCUUAUGAUUUGGGCUACACACGUGCUACAAUGGCGUAAACAAAGGGAAGCGAGCCUGUGAGGGGGAGCAAAUCUCAAAAAUAUCGUCUCAGUUCGGACUGCAGUCUGCAACUCGACUGCACGAAGUUGGAAUCGCUAGUAAUCGCGAAUCAGAAUGUCGCGGUGAAUACGUUCCCGGGUCUUGUACACACCGCCCGUCACACCAUGGGAGUUGGUAACGCCCGAAGUCAGUGACGUAACCGCAAGGAGGGAGCUGCCGAAGGCAGGUUAGAUAACUGGGGUGA
RNAcentral lists this ribosomal RNA (1454 nucleotides) under uncultured organism. RNAcentral describes it as "SSU rRNA". It matches the Rfam family "Bacterial small subunit ribosomal RNA". The record is from RNAcentral.